Small nuclear RNA from Stegostoma tigrinum, 103 nucleotides. The record is from RefSeq and is a predicted model, not a curated record. NCBI's taxonomy places the organism in Eukaryota, Metazoa, Chordata, Chondrichthyes, Orectolobiformes, Stegostomatidae.
UUACUUCACAGUACACAUCAUAAAAUUGGAAAGAUACAUAGAAGACUGGCAUGGCCCCUGUGCAAGGAUUCAUAGAAUUCCUAUAGUGUGGAAACAGGCCCUU